RNAcentral lists this transfer RNA (64 nucleotides) under Ceruchus chrysomelinus. RNAcentral describes it as "tRNA-Pro". The record is from RNAcentral. Lineage: Eukaryota; Metazoa; Arthropoda; Insecta; Coleoptera; Lucanidae.
CAGAGAAUAGUUUAUUUAGAAUACUAAUUUUGGAGAUUAGUGAUAGGGGUUACCUUUUCUCUGA